Molecule: long non-coding RNA, 1941 nt
Filed under: Canis lupus familiaris (dog)
Lineage: Eukaryota; Metazoa; Chordata; Mammalia; Carnivora; Canidae
Description: lncRNA (ENSCAFG00000056493.1)
Source: RNAcentral
GUCCUUACAGGCCAACAGUGGCUGCUCUCCCAAGGUGUUCCUUCUGGGCAAGUGGAGAGACACAGCCCCAGCAAAGAAGCCCGUGUGCUGCCUCUAGAGCCACUGGCCUCAUUUGAAUCUUCCUGAGUCUUUGAGGAUCUGGGAAGAACAUCAUCACCCCAUCUGCCCCACGAUGAUGGCCAUCCUGCGGUGAGGGUGGCUGGGGAACUGUCCCCUACCCUGCAUGGUGGGUGUGGGGGAAGGUCGGUCUGACCUGCAGCCAUCCACCUGCACCUAGACAUUCUCACCUGCUGGCUAACUCUUUACUUUUCUAGGACUGUUCCAGAAUCCCCGGGAAAGUGUGGGAAACAUUGGGCUCCACAAUCUCUGUGGACUAAUCUCAGGAUCUUCAUCCAUCAAAUGGGGGCAGCCCACCUGGCCUCCACUUGCUCCCUCCUGCGAGCGCAGAUGUGAUGACACUCCAGGGCAGCCAGGGCAGCAGCCGCUUCCCUGCCGUCUCCACAAGGACUGUUUUCUCCCCAGUACGAGUCGAAUGAGCUUCCCCUGUCGCUUCAGGGAGCCGCCGCAUCACCAAAUCAGGAGGACCUUCGCCCUUGGGUCGGUCUCGGUCGCGUCCCGGGGUAGGAGACAGACGCCUGCGAGGUGUACGUGCCUCGCACGGAGUCCUGCGGGUGUCGUGAGUGUCGGUCCGCGAGGAGGGGAGAAGGGUUUGUUUCUCGCGGAGAGAUCUCUGUCCUGCAACAACCCCCGGGGCAGAAGCGCUUGCGGAGGGAUCCCCGGGGCCGCUUGUCUCCCAGAGGUCCCGGCAGGUCGGGCUGAGCGGGAUUUAAGACGGCUGGCAGCGGGGUGGUGGCCGGGAUCUCCUUCCCCACCGCCGACAGGCGAAGCGGGGUCUUUGGAGCGGCCCCUGCACGUGCGUCCGCACUAACCCCGAGGGCGGGCCUGCCCGGGAAACCGCGAGAAAUGGGAGGCGCGCACCUUGCGGGCGCCCGGCUCCUCCCCGCGACUCCGAGCCGGGACGCGUCUGCGCCUCCGUGCGGGUGGCCCUGGGAGGCCGAGCCCGGCCUGCGCCCCCGCCCGCCCCGCGCCCGAGGCCGGGGCCGGGGCCGGGGCCGGGGCCGCGCCGGAACGCGGGGCGCGGUGAGUGGGGGCGGGGCGCCGCCGCUGGGGGCCGGGGCCGGCCCGGGAGCCCUUCCCUGUCUCCUUCAGCCCGGGGCCGCGCGCGCCCUCGGCGCCCUCCCGGCCGGUCGGCGACGACAGGUCCAGCCCCGGGACGCCGCCUCCGCCCGCGACGGCCGCGACGUUGGUGCCUUCUCCCCUCUUCCCCCGGGGAGGCCGCGCGGGCCGGGCAUCGCGGUCCCCGGGAGCGUGGCGACGGCGGGGCGGCCCCACGGCUGGGCGCGCGCCGUCCCCCUCCAGGGCGCACCCCAACCCCGACGGGCCCGGCGCCCGCAGCGCCCCCGCCCCGAGGCCCGCGCAGGCCGGCCCCGCCCCCAGCGCCGCGCCGGGCCACCUGGCCUUCCGUGCAGGUGCGGGGAGGCCGGCGCCCACCCGCCCGGGGCGAGCCCACUCCGGGGGCUCUGGGGCCGCCGGCCGCGUCUCCCGCCCCGGGGCCGGCCGGUGCGCGCGGGAGGAGGACCUAGAAGCGGACUCUGCCUGGGCUUGCCUGGGCUUGUUCAGAGCCGGGCUGCUUCCCUCGGCGACCACGCGGAUCCGGGGGGAUUUCGGGAUCUUGCGGGAGCCCUGCAGCCCGGCGCCGGCGAGGAGGGCGCUGGAAGCCCGCGGCCCUGCUCGCCCCGGGCCUCGGCGUCCACGGCCGGCGCAGGGAAGGCACAAGUGGAUCCUGAAAUUCAGGAGAAACGGAGGUGCUGCCUGCCCUUCUGGGAAUGCUGAUUCCCCUCGACCCAGACUGACAAUAAUUGUUAAGGUUAAAACAUCCGA